This 274-nucleotide ribosomal RNA is filed under the name uncultured bacterium. RNAcentral's name for it is "partial 16S ribosomal RNA". It matches the Rfam family "Bacterial small subunit ribosomal RNA", at positions 523 to 796 of the family's 1533-position model. The record is from RNAcentral.
AGACGGGGGAUGCUAGCGUUGUUCGGAAUUACUGGGCGUAAAGGGCGCGUAGGCGGCUCUGCGAGUCGGGCGUGAAAUCCCGGGGCUCAACCCCGGAACGGCGCUCGAUACUGCGGGGCUGGAGACCGGAAGAGGAGGGUGGAAUUCCCAGUGUAGAGGUGAAAUUCGUAGAUAUUGGGAGGAACACCGGUGGCGAAAGCGGCUCUCUGGUCCGGUACUGACGCUGAGGCGCGAAAGCGUGGGGAGCAAACAGGAUUAGAAACCCUAGUAGUCC